AGACCCGAAACCCGGUGAUCUAGCCAUGGGCAGGUUGAAGGUUGGGUAACACUAACUGGAGGACCGAACCGACUAAUGUUGAAAAAUUAGCGGAUGACCUGUGGCUGGGGGUGAAAGGCCAAUCAAACCGGGAGAUAGCUGGUUCUCCCCGAAAGCUAUUUAGGUAGCGCCUCGUGAAUUCAUCUCCGGGGGUAGAGCACUGUUUCGGCUAGGGGGCCAUCCCGGCUUACCAACCCGAUGCAAACUGCGAAUACCGGAGAAUGUUAUCACGGGAGACACACGGCGGGUGCUAACGUCCGUCGUGAAGAGGGAAACAACCCAGACCGCCAGCUAAGGUCCCAAAGUCAUGGUUAAGUGGGAAACGAUGUGGGAAGGCCCAGACAGCCAGGAUGUUGGCUUAGAAGCAGCCAUCAUUUAAAGAAAGCGUAAUAGCUCACUGGUCGAGUCGGCCUGCGCGGAAGAUGUAACGGGGCUAAACCAUGCACCGAAGCUGCGGCAGCGAACGUAUCACCCAAGACAACUUUACGGAGUUGACGAUUGACGGAGCGAAGCGACGUCAAAGCGUUCAUUAAAGUCGAGUUGGCUUAGGGAUACGUUCGUUGGGUAGGGGAGCGUUCUGUAAGCCUGUGAAGGUGGCCUGUGAGGGUUGCUGGAGGUAUCAGAAGUGCGAAUGCUGACAUAAGUAACGAUAAA
Molecule: ribosomal RNA, 693 nt
Filed under: Salmonella enterica subsp. enterica serovar Derby
Lineage: Bacteria; Pseudomonadati; Pseudomonadota; Gammaproteobacteria; Enterobacterales; Enterobacteriaceae
Also listed under: 1 other name
Description: partial 23S ribosomal RNA
Rfam family: Bacterial large subunit ribosomal RNA
Source: RNAcentral